ACGCGUUCCCCUCUGGAGGUAUUAAACCUUCAUGCUUGGCCGGACUUACCAGUCCGGCCUUUUUCUUUAAAAAU
This 74-nucleotide unclassified non-coding RNA is filed under the name Mesorhizobium sp. YR577. RNAcentral describes it as "suhB". The record is from RNAcentral. Lineage: Bacteria; Pseudomonadati; Pseudomonadota; Alphaproteobacteria; Hyphomicrobiales; Phyllobacteriaceae.